UGGCGGUGCGCGGCGCAAUUUCUG
RNAcentral lists this microRNA (24 nucleotides) under Echinococcus granulosus. RNAcentral's name for it is "egr-miR-3479b-5p". Lineage: Eukaryota; Metazoa; Platyhelminthes; Cestoda; Cyclophyllidea; Taeniidae. The record is from miRBase by way of RNAcentral.